GAGUAACUCCAACCCCUGUGACAUACCUAUACGUUGCCUCGGCGGAUCAGCCCGCGCCCCGUAAAACGGGACGGCCCGCCCGAGGACCCUAAACUCUGUUUUUAGUGGAACUUCUGAGUAAAACAAACAAAUAAAUCAAAACUUUCAACAACGGAUCUCUUGGUUCUGGCAUCGAUGAAGAACGCAGCAAAAUGCGAUAAGUAAUGUGAAUUGCAGAAUUCAGUGAAUCAUCGAAUCUUUGAACGCACAUUGCGCCCGCCAGUAUUCUGGCGGGCAUGCCUGUUCGAGCGUCAUUUCAACCCUCAAGCUCAGCUUGGUGUUGGGACUCGCGGUAACCCGCGUUCCCCAAAUCGAUUGGCGGUCACGUCGAGCUUCCAUAGCGUAGUAAUCAUACACCUCGUUACUGGUAAUCGUCGCGGCCACGCCGUAAAACCCCAACUUCUGAAUGUUGACCUCGGAUCAGGUAGGAAUACCCGCUGAACUUAAGCAUAUCAUAA
This 497-nucleotide ribosomal RNA is filed under the name Fusarium incarnatum. RNAcentral describes it as "eukaryotic LSU rRNA". The stretch from base 140 to 293 matches the Rfam family "5.8S ribosomal RNA". Lineage: Eukaryota; Fungi; Ascomycota; Sordariomycetes; Hypocreales; Nectriaceae. The record is from RNAcentral.